Long non-coding RNA from Zea mays, 326 nucleotides. RefSeq lists it as uncharacterized. Lineage: Eukaryota; Viridiplantae; Streptophyta; Magnoliopsida; Poales; Poaceae. The record is from RefSeq and is a predicted model, not a curated record. The transcript has 3 exons.
CUUUCAUAUUUUUCUGCCAUACUUGCUUUGCUGCAUAAAACUGUAAUAUUAUUGCUUGCUGAAUUCCUAAGACAGAGUGUGCUGUUAACUCGUGGACUUGUUGGUUUGGUUAUAGAUUUGUGAGAAGUACCUAUCAUUGAAGAAAGGUACCCGACCAGACAUAACAACGACAAUUGAAGAUGAGCUUCACAGUGCUCGAUCUUCAUUUGAGCAAGCCCGUUUCAACCUGGUCACUUCACUUUCCCAUGUCGAGGCAAAGAAGAGAUAUGAAUUUUUGGAGGCUGUUAGUGCGAUGAUGGACUCACAUCUUUGAUAUUUUAAACAAG